GCACGCGUAGCUCAGUUGGCAGAGCAGCUGACUCUUAAUCAGCGGGUCGGGGGUUCGAGUCCCCCCGCGUGUACCA
Molecule: transfer RNA, 76 nt
Filed under: Ignavibacteria bacterium
Lineage: Bacteria; Pseudomonadati; Ignavibacteriota; Ignavibacteria
Description: tRNA-Lys
Rfam family: tRNA
About the family: Transfer RNA (tRNA) molecules are approximately 80 nucleotides in length. Their secondary structure includes four short double-helical elements and three loops (D, anti-codon, and T loops).
Source: RNAcentral